CUUUUGAAAGUUUUAACAAUAUCUUCAUCAAGAUCUUGGAAGUUGAAUUGCAAGAUUGUCACCAUAACCGCUGCAUGCUUCCAUCUUUUACAGAGGGAUUUGAAAACCCUCUCGCUGAGUUUCUUGAACUUCUCUGGUGGGAUUUUGUCGUAUCUGGCCCUGAUUUCAGUCCAGAUUUUCAUGUGUGUCUUUUGUCCCCUUUUUCGUCUCCUCAUCCCCAAAGGGUCGCAGCGGGCUGCCCCUCCCUGACCGUGGUUCUGCCAGAGGGUGCUUCCUGUUAAAAGAAAUAGUCAGGACCCAGAUGAACCUGUGCUGGAAUUCAGUGUGGGCUUUCUACUUACAGGGUGGUGGGUCUCAGAGGACAAUUGCUACCCCUGUUGAAGUGAACAACGUGUGGAGUGCAACUGGCUUUGUGGCAUAGCUGGCUCUGGCCUUGGACUGUGUGUUUUUACUUUGUACCUAAAUGGGACACUGGACUUUUAACUACUAUUCAUUGUGUUUAUAAAUAAAAUUUUAGAAUUUUAUUGACUGUCAUCUUUUUGCCCACGGUUGGUCAGACCUAGAAUCUCUUUGUGUGUGUGUGU
Long non-coding RNA from Astatotilapia calliptera (eastern happy), 584 nucleotides. The record is from Ensembl. NCBI's taxonomy places the organism in Eukaryota, Metazoa, Chordata, Actinopteri, Cichliformes, Cichlidae.